AGCUUUGCCCAGUGGCAGUAUCGUAGCCAAUGAGGUUUAUCCGAGGCACAAUUAUUGCUAAUAGAAGAUAUACAUCCCAGUGGUCUAGUGGUGGGACUGUAUAGUGGGAGCCUUUCCACAUUAUUCUCCUGAUGAGAUGAUGGUGAAUAAUUGUCUCAGAACCUACAGACUAUAAAUAGG
This 180-nucleotide small nuclear RNA is filed under the name Erinaceus europaeus (western European hedgehog). RNAcentral's name for it is "U4 spliceosomal RNA (ENSEEUG00000020571.1)". The stretch from base 1 to 79 matches the Rfam family "U4 spliceosomal RNA". The record is from RNAcentral. Lineage: Eukaryota; Metazoa; Chordata; Mammalia; Eulipotyphla; Erinaceidae.